ACAAACGCUGGCGGGGUGCGUGAGACAUGCAAGUCGAACGAGGAGCCUCCGAGCUUGCUUGGAGGUUUCCUAGUGGCGGACGGCUGAGUAACGCGUAGGUGACCUACCCGGAAGUGGGGAAUAACUGCCCGAAAGGGUGGCUAAUACCGCAUGUGAUCGGUGAUUCGAUUCACCGCUUAAAGGAGUAAUCCGCUUCCGGCGGGGCCUGCGUUCGAUUAGCUAGUUGGUGGGGUAACGGCUCACCAAGGCGACGAUCGAUAGCUGGUCUGAGAGGAUGAUCAGCCAGACUGGGACUGAGAACGGCCCAGACUCCUACGGGAGGCAGCAGUCGGGAAUUUUGCCCAAUGGACGAAAGUCUGAGGCAGCAACUCCGCGUGAGGGACGAAGGCUCUAGGGUCGUAAACCUCUUUUCUCAGGGAAGAUCCAAGACGGUACCUGAGGAAUAAGCCACGGCUAACUACGU
Molecule: ribosomal RNA, 463 nt
Filed under: uncultured bacterium
Lineage: Bacteria
Description: bacterial SSU rRNA
Rfam family: Bacterial small subunit ribosomal RNA
Source: RNAcentral